This is a non-coding RNA of Ictidomys tridecemlineatus (thirteen-lined ground squirrel), 302 nucleotides long. The record is from Rfam. Lineage: Eukaryota; Metazoa; Chordata; Mammalia; Rodentia; Sciuridae.
GGAUAUAAGUGCAAUCUAACUGUGACAUGUCACCCCAAUGACCACGAGGGCUGACUUGGCUUAUCUGGCUAGCAAGGUAGGUGUGCCUAGAUGCACUCGCUACUCUGUGUGCAUCUCUCCAUAAACUGCACAUUUGGUCAAAGAGGAUAACAUUUCCCAAAAGAGGAAAAUCUUUCUUUAGUCAAGGAUAUACAAAAGUAGCUGUACUCCCCUGCUAAAACCUCCCCUGCUAAAACCUCCCCUGCUAAAACCUCCCCAAAAGCUCUCAAGAUAUAUACACCAAGAAACUUUAAAAAUUACCU